This is a long non-coding RNA of Harmonia axyridis, 1174 nucleotides long. RefSeq lists it as uncharacterized. The record is from RefSeq and is a predicted model, not a curated record. NCBI's taxonomy places the organism in Eukaryota, Metazoa, Arthropoda, Insecta, Coleoptera, Coccinellidae. The transcript has 3 exons.
GGCAAUAGCAUCCGAGAGCGGACGGAUAUUUUAGUCACGUGACCACAAAUUUUACAAAUAAUCAAGAUUUAUCUGAAAUAAACGAACGGUACAGAGCAUCCUGAGCUUCAGCUGUUAUGUCAGUUCUUUGAUGUAUGCAUGUGGCGCCCUUCGUGGCUAAAUGAAAUGAAAUCAUUAGUAAAACUUAAUCAAUAUUCAUAAUAUACACUUUUACUGUCUUGCCUGCUGAAGAGGCGUUAGAAAUUUAUGCUUUUUUUAACUAUACUAAGAAGUUUUAAGUUGAUUUUGUUUUCAAUAUUGAAAAAUACGGAAAAAUUCUGAAGUGCUGAUCAUACUUUGAGAGAAAUGGCAACCUGAAGUAUUCCAUAAAAUAUGCAGUGCUCAUUUUGUGUGAAACGUGAGGAAUAAUGAUCAUAAGAGAACUUCAUUUAGCCCAAUGAUUUGUAGAGAAGUAAAAAAAAACGGAUAUCUAAUUCCUCUACAAAAAUGAAAAGAUAUAAAAGAAAAAUGGUCUGAUCUAGUAGGAAGUAUAUUUCCAAGGAGGAAUCACUUCUAAAACCUCCAUUCGUUUCAUGAAGACAAAAAUGUUUCAAUGGAAGUUUUAGAAGGAAAAAAGGAAUUUUCAUGUCAAAUUGAUCCAAGUGAUUUGGAAGAUGAUAUCUUUUAUUUUCAUCAGUAAUUUAAUGGACUAUGGUGCCAAGGGAAUGUGUGAUGGGAUAACUUACUGCCAUAGGAUAAAUAAAUUAUAUGUAAAAUCAAUGCACUAUUUGAUAAUAAUGAUAAUUUAUUUGCACACAAGAAAUCCAUAAAAACAUACGCCAUCAAAAGUUGACAUGGCUUGUCAAUCAAAAAAUCUUAAACUAUAAAUGAAUAGUAUCAAUAGUCAUUGUAAUGAAAACAUUAAUAUGUUUGUAGUUACAAAUUAUCAAAUAAUAUUUACAAAAAUGAUUUCUAAAUAAAUCACUCAACCUGUAUAUUGUAUGAUCCAAUAGCAAAUCUUUUACUCUCUUACUAAUAACAACUGGACUCAAAUUUUUCAAUAAUCUGGAAGUUAUAACAUGUAAAACUUCAGACAUGUAUGAUUCGGAACUUUUCUUAUUCUGGAUGGUCUUAUUACAGCACAAUUAAGGCACAAUGUGUAAAGCAUAUUUUUAAAAUAAAUCAUUUCAAGUUA